GGGAUGUCGGUGCCCUGCCCCAAUGCCCUCCGUCACAGGCUCACCCAUCCCCAUGCUGCUCUGAGGAUGACCGUACCCCACCACUGUCCUGUCUCUGGAGAGCUGCCCUUGACUAAUGGAACCCUCUGGAGGGGGGAUGGGAGAACAGAUUAAGGAGAAAAGAUUGGAUGGGGACACAUCAGUAACAUAGGGUGAAAAAGAAAUCCACGGCUCGAGAGAUGUCUCAGCUGGCACGAUGGGAAGACUUCUCCAGGGACAUUUAGUUUAGUAAUGCAUCUACAGUUUAAGAGGAAUAUUCUGUUCUCUUUUCCAGUCUCCUGUGUUCCCAAAUACUCUUGGUCCUUCUCAGACUCGGGCUCUGGGGAAGAAGAGGGAUCCCACUGAUGCUUCUGGAAAAGAGCAAAGAUAGAGCAAGGAUGCCAAGUGUGUGUGGGGGGAUCAGUGCUCUACUCUGGGUACUUUGACGGAUUCCUGGACCCUAUCCCAAGCCGAGAGAGUUAGAAUGUCAGAGAGCUAUGCCCUGGGAUCUGUGCUCUUUCAAAGCUCCCCUAAGUGAUUCUGAUCGUCGUCUUGAUUUGGAAACCACUCGGGCCACUUGUCCCUGUGUUGUCACCCAUGGACUUGACGGAGAUGCUUACCAUGACCAAGGUUUGGUCUGGGGUAUGAUCAGAUUGAGUGAGCAAGGCUGAGGCUCAAAGAUGCCAGCAAGAAGGGGAAACCAUGAGAGAGACAGACACUUUUCUCGACUGGAAGCAGAUGAUCUAGUCAUUCAUUCAACACCUAUUACUGAGCACCUCGGGUAUACCUGGUGCUUUUCUAGAUGCUAGGGACACAGCCGUGCACAAGACAGACGAAAUCCCUGCUCUCGAGGACAAUACAAUCAGGGAGCUAUGUAAUAAACCAGACAAACACAGGGCUGCUCUACAAGGCGGGGAUCUCGUUUUGU
Molecule: long non-coding RNA, 946 nt
Organism: Ailuropoda melanoleuca (giant panda)
Lineage: Eukaryota; Metazoa; Chordata; Mammalia; Carnivora; Ursidae
Exons: 3
Source: RefSeq, a predicted model, not a curated record